UCGGGGGUACUCGAGUGGCGAACGGGUGAGUAACACGUGGGCAAUCUGCCCUGCACUUCGGGAUUNCCAAGCCUGGGAAACUGGGGAAAUCUAAUACCGGAUAGGACCUUUAGACGCAUGUCUUUUGGUGGGAAGCUUUUGCGGUGUGGGAUGGGCCCGCGGCCUAUCAGCUUGUUGGUGGGGUGACGGCCUACCAAGGCGACGACGGGUAGCCGGCCUGAGAGGGUGUCCGGCCACACUGGGACUGAGAUACGGCCCAGACUCCUACGGGAGGCAGCAGUGGGGAAUAUUGCACAAUGGGCGCAAGCCUGAUGCAGCGACGCCGCGUGGGGGAUGACGGCCUUCGGGUUGUAAACCUCUUUCACCAUCGACGAAGGUUCGGGUUUUCUCGGAUUGACGGUAGGUGGAGAAGAAGCACCGGCCAACUACGUGCCAGCAGCCGCGGUAAUACGUAGGGUGCGAGCGUUGUCCGGAAUUACUGGGCGUAAAGAGCUCGUAGGUGGUUUGUCGCGUUGUUCGUGAAAUCUCACGGCUUAACUGUGAGCGUGCGGGCGAUACGGGCAGACUAGAGUACUGCAGGGGAGACUGGAAUUCCUGGUGUAGCGGUGGAAUGCGCAGAUAUCAGGAGGAACACCGGUGGCGAAGGCGGGUCUCUGGGCAGUAACUGACGCUGAGGAGCGAAAGCGUGGGGAGCGAACAGGAUUAGAUACCCUGGUAGUCCACGCCGUAAACGGUGGGUACUAGGUGUGGGUUUCCUUCCUUGGGAUCCGUGCCGUAGCUAACGCAUUAAGUACCCCGCCUGGGGAGUACGGCCGCAAGGCUAAAACUCAAAGGAAUUGACGGGGGCCCGCACAAGCGGCGGAGCAUGUGGAUUAAUUCGAUGCAACGCGAAGAACCUUACCUGGGUUUGACAUGCACAGGACGCGUCUAGAGAUAGGCGUUCCCUUGUGGCCUGUGUGCAGGUGGUGCAUGGCUGUCGUCAGCUCGUGUCGUGAGAUGUUGGGUUAAGUCCCGCAACGAGCGCAACCCUUGUCUCAUGUUGCCAGCGGGUAAUGCCGGGGACUCGUGAGAGACUGCCGGGGUCAACUCGGAGGAAGGUGGGGAUGACGUCAAGUCAUCAUGCCCCUUAUGUCCAGGGCUUCACACAUGCUACAAUGGCCGGUACAAAGGGCUGCGAUGCCGCAAGGUUGAGCGAAUCCUAAGCCNGUCUCAUUUAAAGCCGGUCUCAGUUCGGCCCAUUGGGGUCUGCAACUCGACCCCAUGAAGUCGGAGUCGCUAGUAANNNCNUUCGCAGAUCAGCAACGCUGCGGUGAAUACGUUCCCGGGCCUUGUACACACCGCCCGUCACGUCAUGAAAGUCGGUAACACCCGAAGCCAGUGGCCU
RNAcentral lists this ribosomal RNA (1384 nucleotides) under Mycobacterium sp. DWMJ-1860B1. RNAcentral describes it as "bacterial SSU rRNA". It matches the Rfam family "Bacterial small subunit ribosomal RNA", at positions 80 to 1436 of the family's 1533-position model. Lineage: Bacteria; Bacillati; Actinomycetota; Actinomycetes; Mycobacteriales; Mycobacteriaceae. The record is from RNAcentral.